This 364-nucleotide ribosomal RNA is filed under the name Marmorana cf. platychela VF-2008. Its description in RNAcentral is "partial 16S ribosomal RNA". It matches the Rfam family "Archaeal large subunit ribosomal RNA", at positions 2027 to 2690 of the family's 2987-position model. Lineage: Eukaryota; Metazoa; Mollusca; Gastropoda; Stylommatophora; Helicidae. The record is from RNAcentral.
GCAAAGGUAGCAUAAUCAGUUGGCUUAUAAUUGAAGUCUGGUAUGAACGAAAUUACGGGUAGAAGCUAUCUAUAAAAUAUUUUUAUGAACUUGGUUAGUAGGUGAAAAAACUUACAUAAUUCAAAUAGACGAGAAGACCCUAGAAAUUUAUACGUAUAACGUUUUUGUUGGGGCGACAGAGUUACAAAGAACUAACUUUAAAGAACAUGCAACAGUGGUGACAGAUAAAAUUACUCUAGGGAUAACAGCAUAAUUUUAUUAGUUUAUGACCUCGAUGUUGGACUAGGGACGGUAUACUUUAGAAGAGUGCACUGUAUGCUCUGUUCGAGCAGUAAUACCUACAUGAUCUGAGUUCAAAUCGAAG